RNAcentral lists this ribosomal RNA (207 nucleotides) under uncultured bacterium. RNAcentral describes it as "partial 16S ribosomal RNA". It matches the Rfam family "Bacterial small subunit ribosomal RNA", at positions 568 to 774 of the family's 1533-position model. The record is from RNAcentral.
UGCGCAGGCGGCCUUUCAAGUCAGGUGUAAAAUCUCCCGGCUCAACUGGGAGGGACCAUCUGAUACUGUUGGGCUAGAGUACAGCAGAGGAGAGUGGAAUUCCCGGUGUAGUGGUGGAAUGCGUAGAUAUCGGGAGGAACACCAGUGGCGAAAGCGGCUCUCUGGGCUGUUACUGACGCUGUUGCACGAAAGCGUGGGGAGCAAACA